RNAcentral lists this ribosomal RNA (223 nucleotides) under uncultured bacterium. RNAcentral describes it as "partial 16S ribosomal RNA". The stretch from base 106 to 223 matches the Rfam family "Bacterial small subunit ribosomal RNA", at positions 403 to 526 of the family's 1533-position model. The record is from RNAcentral.
CGCCUCCCUCCGCCGCCACUCAGACUACCGUACGGGACGGACGAGCAGUAAGAAUAGUUGGUCUAGUGGACGCAAGUCUACGAACCACGACCAUCGCCGCGGUCGGAGGAGUGAAGGCCUCUCGGUUGUAACUUCUUUAUCUGGAAGAACCAUCUUUCUAGGUGGUUGACGGUACCAGUUGAAUAAGCACCGGCUAACUCUGUGCCAGCAGCCGCGGUAAUAC